AUAUUAUGAGAAAAUCCAGGUCAAUGUAAUCUCUCCAAAAUCAUCUCUCAUUGCUUUCCUGAUAGGAACACUGUUUCCUUACAUGCUGGGAGACAUUUUCCAGGGAGAAGUCUCAAACAGAUGUUACAUCCCAUGGUGACUCUACAAGGGAAAAAACUUCACUUCUUUCAGAAUAUUGUAUAACUCUGGCUUGUCAUUGGUACAGUUUCUCUGUUGGCUACCUUGAGCUUGAAGACUUUUUGAAGGUAAAUCUUUAU
Molecule: long non-coding RNA, 257 nt
Filed under: Cricetulus griseus (Chinese hamster)
Lineage: Eukaryota; Metazoa; Chordata; Mammalia; Rodentia; Cricetidae
Description: lncRNA (ENSCGRG00000026515.1)
Source: RNAcentral